Molecule: ribosomal RNA, 294 nt
Filed under: uncultured bacterium
Lineage: Bacteria
Description: partial 16S ribosomal RNA
Source: RNAcentral
GGACUACUGGGGUAUCUAAUCCCGUUCGAUUCCCACGCUUUCGUGUCUCAGCGUCAGGAGCGCGCCAGUAGAGUGCCUUCGCAUUUGGUGUUCCCCAUAAUAUCAACGGAUUUCACCCCUACACUAUGAGUUCCCUCUACCUCUCGCGCCCUCAAAGUCGUGCCGUUUCUCCUGCGUUUUCUGGGUUAAGCCCAAAAGCUUUGACAAAAGACUAACACGACCGCCUACACACCCUUUACGCCCAGUGAUUCCGGAUAACGCUCGGGGCCUCUGUAUUACCGCGGCUGCUGGCAC